RNAcentral lists this ribosomal RNA (274 nucleotides) under uncultured bacterium. RNAcentral describes it as "partial 16S ribosomal RNA". It matches the Rfam family "Bacterial small subunit ribosomal RNA", at positions 523 to 796 of the family's 1533-position model. The record is from RNAcentral.
AUACAGAGGGUGCGAGCGUUAAUCGGAAUUACUGGGCGUAAAGCGCGCGUAGGCGGUUAUUUAAGUCAGAUGUGAAAUCCCUGGGCUCAACCUAGGAACUGCAUCUGAAACUGGAUAACUAGAGUUUAGGAGAGGGGAGUAGAAUUUCGGGUGUAGCGGUGAAAUGCAUAGAGAUCCGAAGGAAUACCAGUGGCGAAGGCGACUCCCUGGCCUAGAACUGACGCUGAGGUGCGAAAGCGUGCGUAGCAAACGGGAUUAGAAACCCUAGUAGUCC